Molecule: ribosomal RNA, 468 nt
Filed under: uncultured bacterium
Lineage: Bacteria
Description: partial 16S ribosomal RNA
Rfam family: Bacterial small subunit ribosomal RNA
Source: RNAcentral
GACGAACGCUGGCGGCGUGCUUAACACAUGCCAGUCGAACGGAAAGGCCCUGCUUUUGUGGGGUGCUCGAGUGGCGAACGGGUGAGUAACACGUGAGUAACCUGCCCUUGACUUUGGGAUAACUUCAGGAAACUGGGGCUAAUACCGGAUAGGAGCUCCUGCUGCAUGGUGGGGGUUGGAAAGUUUCGGCGGUUGGGGAUGGACUCGCGGCUUAUCAGCUUGUUGGUGGGGUAGUGGCUUACCAAGGCUUUGACGGGUAGCCGGCCUGAGAGGGUGACCGGCCACAUUGGGACUGAGAUACGGCCCAGACUCCUACGGGAGGCAGCAGUGGGGAAUAUUGCACAAUGGGCGGAAGCCUGAUGCAGCAACGCCGCGUGCGGGAUGACGGCCUUCGGGUUGUAAACCGCUUUCACCUGUGACGAAGCGUGAGUGACGGUAAUGAGUAAAGAAGCACCGGCUAACUACGUG